This 505-nucleotide ribosomal RNA is filed under the name Trithemis aurora (dawn dropwing). RNAcentral's name for it is "partial 16S rRNA". It matches the Rfam family "Bacterial large subunit ribosomal RNA", at positions 1819 to 2597 of the family's 2925-position model. Lineage: Eukaryota; Metazoa; Arthropoda; Insecta; Odonata; Libellulidae. The record is from RNAcentral.
GUCCUUUUGUAUUUAAUUGAAGGUCUGACCUGCCCAGUGAUUAAUUUAACGGCCGCGGUAUACUGACCGUGCAAAGGUAGCAUAAUCAUUAGUCUUUUAAUAGAGGGCUGGAAUGAAAGGUUUAACGAGGAACUGACUGUCUCAUUUUAUUUGUUUUAAAAUUUAAUUUUUUAGUUAAAAAGCUAAAAUUUCAUUGGAAGACGAGAAGACCCUAUAGAUCUUUAUAGAAAAAUAAAUAAUUAUUAAUAUAUAAAUGUAAUUAUUUAUUUUUUUAUUUUGUUGGGGUGACAAAAAUAUAAAUCUAACUUUUUUAUUUAUAUAACAUUGAUUUAUGAAUAUAGGAUCCAUUACUAGUGAUUAUUAGAUUAAGUUACCUUAGGGAUAACAGCGUAAUCCUCCUCCAGAGUUCAUAUUUACAGGAUGGGCUUGCGACCUCGAUGUUGGAUUAAGAUAAUAAUCAGGUGUAGCCGCUUGAUUUAUAGGUCUGUUCGACCUUUAAAUUCUU